GACGAACGCUGGCGGCGUGCUUAACACAUGCAAGUCGAACGGAAAGGCCCUGCUUGCGUGGGGUGCCCGAGUGGCGAAGGGGUGAGUAACACGAGAGUAACCUGCCCUUGACUUUGGGAUAACUUCAGGAAACUGGGGCUAAUACCGGAUAGGAUCUCCUGCUGCAGGGUGGGGGUGGGAAAGUUUCGGCGGUUGUGGAUGGACGCGCGGCUGAUGAGCUUGCUGGUGGGGUAGUGGCUUACCAAGGCUUUGACGGGUAGCCGGCCUGAGAGCGUGACCGGCCACAUUAGGACUGAGAUACGGCGCAGACUCCUACGGGAGGCAGCAGUGGGGAAUAUUGCACAAUGAGCGGAAGCCUGAUGCAGCGGCGCCGCGUGCGGGAUGACGGCUUUCGGGUUGUGAACCGCUGUCGCCUGAGACGAAGCGGGAGUGACGGUAAUGGGUAAAGAAGCACCGGCUAACUACGUG
RNAcentral lists this ribosomal RNA (468 nucleotides) under uncultured bacterium. RNAcentral describes it as "partial 16S ribosomal RNA". It matches the Rfam family "Bacterial small subunit ribosomal RNA", at positions 28 to 507 of the family's 1533-position model. The record is from RNAcentral.